This 3034-nucleotide ribosomal RNA is filed under the name Hevea brasiliensis (rubber tree). RNAcentral's name for it is "eukaryotic LSU rRNA". It matches the Rfam family "Eukaryotic large subunit ribosomal RNA", at positions 488 to 3401 of the family's 3401-position model. Lineage: Eukaryota; Viridiplantae; Streptophyta; Magnoliopsida; Malpighiales; Euphorbiaceae. The record is from RNAcentral.
CUCAUCACGUUGCACUGAAUGCUCAACUCCAUGCACUCGUAUUAUUGGCCACCCAACCUCCCAAUGUCCCAUGCCAUGUAAGUGGACAUUCAUGCAUGUAAGUGGACCUUGUCCACUUGCCCGCUCCACAUGCCUUGCCAAAUUUCUCCACUCAAAUUUGCACCAUCUAUAGUCCCACUCACUCAAUUCCAGACGCAAAAAUGAUGAGCUUACACCAGGGUGCGCCACUAAUACCUGCAUUCAAGUGGCAAUGGCUCCCACUAAUGCCUUCCACAUGUUUUCCCACACAGUGCGCCCUAACUCUUUGCUGCUUGGCUUAAUUCCUUUAUCGCUGCAUGCUGGUCACAUUCUGACUGCCAAUGGAGACUUACACUAUUGGUGUUUCCUCAGCCAUCACCUGCAGUUAUGGUACCGCCACACCUUGUGCCCUUCACUUAUCACAAAGGUCACUCAAAUUUUAGUGCGCCCCAUUUGGUCCAUAAGCCAUGACAUGCUCAAGCGCCACAUGUACUCCACUAAACCCCCAUGUGAGUGUUCAUCUCGCACUAUCUCACAUCCCAUGUGCCGCCCACAAAGCACCAUGCAAAAGUCCACGUCCACUCCAAGGAAACCCAUGCAUGCAAUCACGUGAACACACCACUUCCUCAUGCAACUGCCAUGCCAGCCCACGUCCCAUUUAAGGACCUCAUGCAAUUGCCGUAGCUUACUCUGCAAAGGCGAAACUUCUCACCGUCCACCAUGCCAUGACAUGCAAACUUCACGUAACCAAUGCAUGCAAUUCCUCAAGUGAUGUCUUUCAAAUGUCCCAUGCAGAAUCAAACGUUACACUUAAAGGACCCCAAAGCAAAGCAAUUCAACGUCCUGCUUCCUUAAGCAACAUUCAUAGCGCCACCCCACUGAACCCUGCAAACGGCAAGCAACAAAACACACAAAAAUCAUUUGGACUUCUUCGGGGCAAAAAUAAAUGGGGUGAACGAGCCCCGGGCGGAGCGGCCGCUCGGUGCAGACUUGGUGGUAGUAGCAAAUAUUCGAAAUGAGAAACUUUGAAGGCCGAAAGGGGAAAAGGUUUCCCAUGUGAGGCACUUGCACAAUGGGUUAGUCGAAUCCUAAAGACGGGGUGAAGCCCGUCCGACAAGCGCGUCCGCGCGCAGAGCUUCCGAAAGGGAAUCGGGUUUAAAAUUCCGAACGCGGGACAGCGGCGCGCUGACGGCACGUUAGGGAGUCCGGAAACUGUCGGCGGGGGCCUCGGGAAGAGUUAUCUUUUCUGUUUAAAACGGCCGCCCACCCUGGAAAAGCGACUCAGUCGGAGGUAGGUCCAGCCGCCGGAAGAAGGCACCGCACGUCCGCGCGGUGUCGCGGUGCGCUCCCCGCGGCCCGUGAAAAAUUCCGGAGGACCGAGUGCCUCCCGCGCCCGGUCGUAACUCAUAACCGCAUCAGGUCUCCAAGGUGAACAGCUCUGGCCAAUGGAACAAUGUAGGCCAAGGGAAGUCGUCAAAAACGGAUUCCGUACCUCGGGAAAAGGAUUGGGCUCUGAGGGCUGGGCCCGGGGGUCCAGUCCCGAACCGUCCGGCUGUCGGCGGACGCUCGAGCUAGCUCCCGCCGGCGAGAGCGGGUCGCCGCGUGCCGGCCGGGGACGGACGCUGGGAACUGGCCCCUCCGGGGGCCUUUCCCCGGGCGUCGAACAGUCGACUCAGAACUGGUACGGACAAGGGGAAAUCCGACGUUUAAUUAAAACAAAGCAUUGCGAUGGUCCCUCGGAUGCCUUCACGCAAUGUGAAUUUCUGCCCAGUGGCUCUGAUGUCAAAGUGAAGAAAUCCAACCAGCGCGGUGUUAAACGGCGGGAAAGUAACUAUGACUCCCUUAAGGUAGCCAAAAUGCCUCGUCAUCUAUUAGUGACAGCGCAUGAUGGAUUUAACGAGAUUCCCCACUGUCCCUGUUCUACUACCAGCGAAACCACAUGCCAAAAAGGGAACGGGUCUUGGCGGAAUCAGCCGGGGGAAAAAGAAGACCCCUGUUGAGCCUUGACUCUAGUCCGCUUUGUGAAAAUGAACUUGAGAGGUGUAGGUAAGUGGGAGAGGCCCGGAAUACGGCGACGGUGAAAUACCACUACUUUAACGUUAUUUUUACUUUAUCCGUGAAUCGGAGGCGGGGCCUCGCCCUCUUUUUGACCCAAGGCCGCCAACGGCGGCCGACUCCGGGCGGAAGAAUUGUCAGGUGGGGAGUUUGGGCUGGGGCGCAAUCAUCUGUUAAAAGAUAACGCAGGUGUCCUAGAGAGCUCAACGAGACAGAAAUCUCGUGUGGAACAUAAGGGUAAAAGCUCGUUUGAAUUCUGAUUUCCAGUAACGAAUACGAACCGUGAAAGCGUGGCCUAUCGAUCCCUUUAGAACCUUCGGAAUUUGAAAGCUAGAGGUGUCAAACGAAAAGUUACCAACAGGGAUAACUGGCUUUGUGGCAGCCAAGCGUUCAAUAGCGACGUUGCUUUUUUUGAUCCUCGAUGUCGGCUCUUCCUAUGCACAUUGUGAAGCAGAAUUCACCAAGUGUUGAUUGUAUCACCCACCAAUAGGGAAGCGUGAGCUGGGUUUAGAACCGUCGGAGACAGAUUAGUUUUACCCUACUCGAUGACCGCGUCGGAUGGUAAAAUUCAACCAGUACGAGAGGAACCGUUGAUUCGCAGCCAAUUGGUUCAUCCGCGCUUGGUUUGAAAAGCCAGUGGCGAAAGCUACCGUGAGCAUGGAUAUUAUGACUGAACGCCUCUACGUCAGAUCGGGCCAAAGCGACCGCCCGGUGUCUGCCCCCGGCUUGCCGACCCGCAAGUAGGGGCCCUCCGGCCCCAAGAGGCACCGUGCGCGUUGGCCAAGCCCCGCGGCGGACGAGCCCGCGGUGCCGCCUUGAAGUACUACGCCACCAGGGCGUCGGGCAGAAUCCUUUGCAGACGGACUAAAUACGCGACGGGUAUUGUAAGUGGCAGAGUGGCCUGCUGCAACGUCACUGAGAUUCAGGCCCUUUGUCGCUCCGAUUUCGUCCUCCCCCUCCG